UCAAUAAGCUGAGGAAAAGAAACCAACCGGGAUUGCCUUAGUAACGGCGAGUGAAGCGGCAAAAGCUCAAAUUUGAAAUCUGGUACCUUCGGUGCCCGAGUUGUAAUUUGGAGAGGGCAACUUUGGGGCCGUUCCUUGUCUAUGUUCCUUGGAACAGGACGUCAUAGAGGGUGAGAAUCCCGUGUGGCGAGGAGUGCGGUUCUUUGUAAAGUGCCUUCGAAGAGUCGAGUUGUUUGGGAAUGCAGCUCUAAGUGGGUGGUAAAUUCCAUCUAAAGCUAAAUAUUGGCGAGAGACCGAUAGCGAACAAGUACAGUGAUGGAAAGAUGAAAAGAACUUUGAAAAGAGAGUGAAAAAGUACGUGAAAUUGUUGAAAGGGAAGGGCAUUUGAUCAGACAUGGUGUUUUGUGCCCUCUGCUCCUUGUGGGUAGGGGAAUCUCGCAUUUCACUGGGCCAGCAUCAGUUUUGGUGGCAGGAUAAAUCCAUAGGAAUGUAGCUUGCCUCGGUAAGUAUUAUAGCCUGUGGGAAUACUGCCAGCUGGGACUGAGGACUGCGACGUAAGUCAAGGAUGCUGGCAUAAUGGUUAUAUGCCGC
RNAcentral lists this ribosomal RNA (591 nucleotides) under Saccharomyces cerevisiae (brewer's yeast). Its description in RNAcentral is "eukaryotic LSU rRNA". It matches the Rfam family "Eukaryotic large subunit ribosomal RNA", at positions 43 to 648 of the family's 3401-position model. The record is from RNAcentral. Lineage: Eukaryota; Fungi; Ascomycota; Saccharomycetes; Saccharomycetales; Saccharomycetaceae.